Molecule: ribosomal RNA, 228 nt
Filed under: uncultured bacterium
Lineage: Bacteria
Description: partial 16S ribosomal RNA
Rfam family: Bacterial small subunit ribosomal RNA
Source: RNAcentral
GAUCAUGGCUCAGGAUGAACGCUAGCUACAGGCUUAACACAUGCAAGUCGAGGGGCAGCAUGGUCUUAGCUUGCUAAGGCCGAUGGCGACCGGCGCACGGGUGAGUAACACGUAUCCAACCUGCCGUCUACUCGUUGGACAGCCUUCUGAAAGGAAGAUUAAUACAAGAUGGCAUCAGUGAGUCCGCAUGUUCACAUGAUUAAACGGUAUUCCGGUAGACGAUGGGGA